GUCAGUUCAGAGAGAAAAAGAGAAAGGUCAUGGUGCUUGAAAAGCAUGCCCAGCCUGGACUUAUGAAAAUAUGCAAAAGACAAAGGAAGAGAAAGGAAAGUUAUGCUUUAUUGAGUGAUUCAAAUAGCAGCCACAUUGUGGUGGGAGUGCAAGUGACUGCAGUGAGGCUGGGUUUUUGGGAAGCAAAAGUACAGUAUCUCUCUAAAGCCUAAUUAUUCUUCCCAUCUCUCCAGUAUGGCUUAAGAUGAAUUAGCCCUCCUAAGUGGUAGUCUGAACUAGGUGAUCGGCAAGCACAGCUGGAUUAAUUUAUGUUUGGGCAGUUUGGAAUGUUAGGUCUGUAGCCAAGGCCAGAGAUUAGGCCCAUUCUUUUGACCAGAAGAAAUAGCUUCUCCUUAAUGAGCCUCAAUAAGAGCCCUGAUGAUGCUCUGAAGAGGCAACUAUAUCAUUUAGGAGAUGCACUGAAAAUUGAGGAUUAGAUCGAAACCACUUUACCAUGAAAAUCUAGAGAACAAAUUCUACAGCUGUUCACCAGAAGGGAUUUGUGUCUGGAGUUCUGCUCACACCCUCAGGUAGAGCCUCCAGGCAAGGAUGCUUAUUUAAGAGGCAGAGGAUACCAGAUUUCCCUUCUUGCAUUCCUAGCCAGAGAACCAAGGUCAAUCAGAAACUUCUGCUUUGGGGAGCCCUGUGCCUAAAGGGUCAGCCAUUUCCUCCUAUCCUUGUCCUCAUCAGUAUUACUUGUUUAAUUACCUUUUCCAGGAAGACUGAGCGAACCCGGGUUAGUGCUGUCAAGGCUCAAGCUUUGAACCCUAGUAACUCCAGUAGCAAUUUCUGUAAUCACACAUCUCAAGAAGCAACUUAAGAGAGAAAGGGGUUUACUGGGCUCAGAGUUCAAUGGCGUGCACUUCGCCAUGGUUUUGUGGCAAAAGCACAGCAGGGGGAGAAGGAGGCAGCUGGUCAUAUAACUAAAACAGAAAUGAAUGUUGCUCAGAAAUUGAGUCCAUGAACCUAGUCCAUGAGAUGGUGCCAUUCACUUUGGGAGUGCAUCAUCUUCCUGCUCAGUUAAAGCUUUUUGGAACUGCCCUCAGGUAGAUUUCCAUGAUUCUAAAUUCUGUCAUGUUAUGAUUAACCAUUACACCAGUCCUUCUCACCAUGACACCAGAAGAUGAAUUCUUUGGAAUCGGGGGUUAGUUAUAAGGCUUUGGACUAAAGACGGUACAGAAAUACUCGAAAGGUUUGUACCUAGUUGUGUAUUUCCUGUUUCCUGUAUCCUGAGACAGUCCAGGGCAAAUAAAGCAUUGUAAUCUGACAGAUUCCAGGACAAAGCUUGCCAGCAAUAAACAAAACUUACUCCUAGGGGUGUAGGACAUGUUCAUAUGCUGGAGAGAAGUGUUUAACACCAGAGGCCAUCAUUCUGUCAUGUGUGGACAGUCUGAUUCCUAGGUUCUAGUUUGACAAUAAGAUUUGAACUCAGACUGCAAUAUUGAAGCUAUGUUCUACAUAGGUCAUUUUAAACCAGCAUCAUGGUUAUCAUUGUCAAUGAGACAGAGCUAGAAAAACCUAGAGGGUAGAAUAUGUCUGGGCAUGUCUGGGGGGGGUUGUUUUGGGAUUGGAUUGAAGUGGGAGGACACACCCUAGAAGUGGGUGGUGCCAUGCCAAGAGCAGGGCUCCAGGACUGCAUAAAAAGAAGGCAGCCCAGGUUAGUUCUCUAGGAGUUUGAGUUGUCUCCAUCUUACUUGUCUUGUGGGAAGGCUCUCAGGUGAAGGAGUGGAGAUAGGGGCUCCAGGCUUCUGGCAAUAGGACCGCCACUGCCUUUCGACCCAGAAAUUUUCCCAUUUUAUCCUGUAUUCAGUUGCUCCUGGCCCCAGAAAGAUUACCACCAUGGAGUCUUCAAAGCUGCACCCUGGUGAGGUGGUGACCAGUACAGAGGGCACCGACACUGAACAGUCAUGGGGCAUCAAGAGUCCAGAAAAAACAAGGAUUCAAGUGGCCUCAGCAGCAAGCCACAGAAGUAGUGCCAGGAGCAUGGAGCCCAGCCCCGACAAAGCUGGAUGGAGCUCCCAGUGCUACAGAGGAAGAAGAAUCAAAACCACAACUUUGAGGCUCCAGCCAGCUGCAAACCUAGCUCAGGUGCCAACUCACUCAGCACUGAAGAGACCAAUGAACACCACACAAAGUUGGGGCUAAAAGGCAUGGAAGCCAGUGCCACCAGAGAAACCAAAUGGGAAAGGAUGGAGAACUGGGAACCCCGGUGGAAGAAGGCUGGAACUUCCGAGGUGACUGCUGCAGGGAACCACUCAGAGGAUGAGGAGGACCAGGACUAUGUUCCCUAUGUGCCAUUGCGGCUGCGUCGAUAACUUCGGCUCCAGCAACUGUUGGAGAGAACAGGCAAACGAGCUGGAGCAGAAAAUGGCCAACAGGAACCCGGAAAUGACGACAUCCUGAUGGGCCCUCAGUCCAAGGUCAGUCUCCUGGAUCAGCACCAGCACCUCAAAGAGAAGGCUGAAGGACAAAAGGAGUCUGCCAAGGAGAAGCAAUUAAGGGAAGAGGAGAAGAUUCUGGAGAGUGUGGCUGAGGGGAGAGCCUUGAUGUCUGUGAGGGAAAUGGCCAAGGGCAUCACAUAUUCUGAUCCAAUCAAAACCAGCUAGACUCCUCCAUGCUACUUCCUGAGCAUGUCUGAGGGGAGGCAUGAGCACGUUCAAAAGAAGUACCACAUCCUGGUAGAGGGAGACGGUAUUCCACCACCCAUCAAGAGCUUCCAGGAAAUGAAGUUUCCUGCAGCCAUUCUUCGGGGCCUGAAGAAGAAAGGAAUCUACCACCCAACACCCAUCCAGAUCCAGGGCAUCCCCACCGUUCUGUCUGGUCGGGACAUGAUAGGUAUUGCCUUUACGGGAUCAGGCAAGACACUGGUAUUUGCCCUGCGUCUCAUCAUGUUCUGCCUGGAACAAGAGAAAUGCCUGCCGUUCUCCAAGCAUGAAGGGCCUUAUGGACUCAUCAUCUGCCGCUCUCGAGAGCUGGCCUGCAGACCCAUGACAUCCUGGAGUAUUAUUGCCAUUUGUUGCAAGACAGCAGCUUCCCGCAUCUGUGCUAUGCUCUCUGCAUCGGGAGCAAGUCUGUCAAAGAGCAGAUGGAGACCAUCAAACAUGGUGUGCACAUGAUGGUAGCCACCCCUGGGCGCCUUAUCGAUUUGCUUCAGAAGAAAAUAGCCUAGACACCUGCUGCUACUUGGCUCUGGAUGAGGCUGACCACAUGAUCGACAUAGGCUUUGAGGGUGACAUUUGCACCAUCUUCUCCUACUUCCAGGGCCAGAGGCAGACACUACUCUUCAGUGCCACCAUGCCAACAAAGAUUCAGAAUUUUGCUGAGUGCCCUUGUAAAGCCUGUCAUCAUUAAUGUAGGGUGAGCUGGAGCUGCUAGCCUGGAUGUCAUCCCGGAAGUGGAAUAUGUGAAGGAGGAAACCAAGAUGGCAUCCUGCUUGAGUGUCUGCAGAAGAUACCCAUACUGGUGCUCAUCUUUGCAGAGAAGAAAGCAGAUGUGGAUGCCAUCCACGGAUACCUGCUGCUCAAGGGGGUUGAAGCUGUGGCUAUUCAUGGGGGCAGAGACCAGGAUGAACGAACCAAGGCCACUGAGGCAUUCCAUAAGGAAAAGAAGGAUAUAUUAGUGGCCACAGAUGUGGCCUCCAAGGGCCUGGACUUCCCUACUAUCCAACAUGUCAUCAAUUAUGACAUGCCUGAGGAUAUCGAGAACUAUGUACACCGAAUAGGCUGCACUGGGCGCUCAGGAAACACUGGGAUCGCCACCACCUUCAUCAAGUUCUGUGAUGAGUCAGUCCUCAUGGACCUCAAGGCUUUACUGUUAGAGGCCAAGCAGAAGGUUCCCCCUGUGCUGCAAGCCCUGAAGUGUGGGAAUGAGUCCAUGUUGGGCAUCCGAGGAGAGUGUGGCUGUGCCUUAUGUGGGGGCCUGGGCCAUUGGAUCACUGACUGCCCCAAAUUGGAGGCUAUGCAGACCAAGCAGGUCAUCAGCAUUGGCCACAAAGACUACCUGGCGCACAGCCCCAUAGACUUCUGAACCACCUGCUUCCCCUCUUUUCUCCACGAGGCCUCAGUCCCAAGACGCUAGCCAUGCUCACACAUCAGUCUCCAGGACAAGAAGCCAGCAUCUUU
This is an RNA transcript of Nannospalax galili (Upper Galilee mountains blind mole rat), 4160 nucleotides long. It is a transcript of the gene named probable ATP-dependent RNA helicase DDX41 pseudogene, with no coding region annotated. The transcript has a single exon. Lineage: Eukaryota; Metazoa; Chordata; Mammalia; Rodentia; Spalacidae. The record is from RefSeq and is a predicted model, not a curated record.